Molecule: ribosomal RNA, 129 nt
Filed under: Escherichia coli
Lineage: Bacteria; Pseudomonadati; Pseudomonadota; Gammaproteobacteria; Enterobacterales; Enterobacteriaceae
Description: partial 16S ribosomal RNA
Source: RNAcentral
GGUGAGUAAUGCGUAGGAACCUGCCCGAUAGAGGGGGAUACCAGUUGGAAACGACUGUUAAUACCGCAUAAUGUCUACGGACCAAAGUGUGGGACCUUCGGGCCACAUGCUAUCGGAUGCGCCAACUGA